GGUUGCAAAGCUGAAACUUAAAGGAAUUGACGGAAGGGCACCACCAGGAGUGGAGCCUGCGGCUUAAUUUGACUCAACACGGGAAAACUUACCUGGCCCGGACACUGGAAGGAUUGACAGAUUAAGAGCUCUUUCUUGAUUCAGUGGGUGGUGGUGCAUGGCCGUUCUUAGUUGGUGGAGCGAUUUGUCUGGUUAAUUCCGAUAACGAACGAGACUCUAGCCUACUAAAUAGGGGACCGAUCAAUUGUUGUCGGUCCGUCUUCUUAGAGGGACAAGCGGCUUUUAGCCGCACGAGACAGAGCAAUAACAGGUCUGUGAUGCCCUUAGAUGUCCGGGGCCGCACGCGCGCUACACUGAAGGAAGCAGCGUGCUCAUCGCUGUCCGGCAGGACUGCGUAACCCCUAUAACCUCCUUCGUGAUAGGGAUAGGGGCUUGUAAUUGUUCCCCUUGAACGAGGAAUUCCCAGUAAGCGCGAGUCAUAAGCUCGUGUUGAUUACGUCCCUGCCCUUUGUACACACCGCCCGUCGCUACUACCGAUUGAAUGAUUUAGUGAGGUCUUCGGACUGGCGCUCGGAGCGACCUUCGGGUUGCGCCGGCGUGCCGGAAAGAUGACCAAACUUGAUCAUUUAGAGGAAGUAAAAGUCGUAACAAGGUUUCC
RNAcentral lists this ribosomal RNA (658 nucleotides) under Draculoides sp. SCH104. RNAcentral describes it as "SSU rRNA". It matches the Rfam family "Eukaryotic small subunit ribosomal RNA", at positions 1127 to 1804 of the family's 1831-position model. Lineage: Eukaryota; Metazoa; Arthropoda; Arachnida; Schizomida; Hubbardiidae. The record is from RNAcentral.